GAAAUGCGAUAAGUAAUGUGAAUCGCAGAAUUCAGUGAAUCAUCGAAUCUUUGAACGCACCUUGCGCUCCUUGGUAUUCCUUGGAGCAUGCCUGUUUGAGUAUCAUGAAAUCUUCAAAGUAAAUCUUUUGUUAACUCAAUUGGUUUCUACUUUGGUAUUGGAGGUCUUUGCAGCUUCACACCUGCUCCUCUUUGUUCAUUAGCUGGAUCUCAGUGUUAUACUUGGUUCCACUCGGCGUGAUAAGUUAUCUAUCGCUGAGGACACUGUAAAAGGUGGCCAAGGUAAAUGCAGAUGAACCGCUUCUAAUAGUCCAUUGACUUGGACAAUACUUUUAUGAUCUGAUCUCAAAUCAGGUAGGACUACCCGCUGAACUUAAGC
Molecule: unclassified non-coding RNA, 378 nt
Filed under: plant metagenome
Description: partial contains 5.8S ribosomal RNA, internal transcribed spacer 2, and large subunit ribosomal RNA
Rfam family: 5.8S ribosomal RNA (bases 1-105)
Source: RNAcentral